GCUUUAGUGUAGCGGUUAUCACUUCGGAUUCUGAUUCCGACAACCCUGGUUCGAUUCCAGGAUCGAGCU
This 69-nucleotide transfer RNA is filed under the name Neurospora pannonica FGSC 7221. RNAcentral describes it as "tRNA-Gln (CTG) (tRNA-Gln-CTG-1-1)". It matches the Rfam family "tRNA". From Rfam's summary of the family: Transfer RNA (tRNA) molecules are approximately 80 nucleotides in length. The record is from RNAcentral. Lineage: Eukaryota; Fungi; Ascomycota; Sordariomycetes; Sordariales; Sordariaceae.